CUUUGAUUAUGAUGUUGUUUGUUCUUAGUUAUCUUUUGAUGUUGAGGUUAUUCUUGUUUUCCAUUUUGAUCUUAUGGAUUUGAAUCGUGAUUGAAAAAUACCUUUUGAAUCUAGGUUAGAAUAAUCUUCUAUCAAAUCUCUUGUUCUAGACAUGGAAUUAGGUUUUGGUAAUCACUUUGACUAUUGGAACUUAAAGCUUUUGCA
This 204-nucleotide long non-coding RNA is filed under the name Medicago truncatula (barrel medic). RNAcentral describes it as "long non-coding RNA (MTRU_LNC004046)". The record is from RNAcentral. Lineage: Eukaryota; Viridiplantae; Streptophyta; Magnoliopsida; Fabales; Fabaceae.